Rhagoletis zephyria (snowberry fruit fly) is the source of this 2039-nucleotide RNA transcript. RefSeq lists it as uncharacterized. The record is from RefSeq and is a predicted model, not a curated record. NCBI's taxonomy places the organism in Eukaryota, Metazoa, Arthropoda, Insecta, Diptera, Tephritidae.
GCUGCAGUUGUCAGUUGACAGUUGCCAGUUGCCAUCUGUAAUACCGUUUUGGCAACUAUCAACGCAACUGAAGUUUGCUUGCUAUCGAUAAUCGACCCAUUAGUACGAAAAGUAUGAGGUUGGCAACAGUGCCGAUGUAACUACAACAUAAAACAGCUGAUUGCCUUUCUCUUUUCAUUGCAAUCACAGCUGAUUUUAACUAGUACUUGCUGUUUCUUAUCAGAAAAAUUUCAGGUGCAAUAGCACUUAAAUGGGUCUCAAUUAAAAGGGCAAUGAAUAGGUGUAUAUGCGAGCAUAGAAUAGAAGUGGAUAAUCUAGACAACGGAGAAAUCAUUAACCAUACAAUACUUCUUAUUAAGGGGCACAUCCGUCAGCCACGAUUUCCAUUGCCCAACAAUACAACAAAAAAGUGUGUGGAGGAGCAACUUGUAUUGCGGUUAAGACAGCAAUUGGUGCAUGCAGAUAGUGCAGGGGUAUUGCAACAGCAUACCCCAAUAUCAAGAAACGGCCAGUUCAAAUUGUUAUGUGAUCUGGGUCAACAUGUGUCACUAGCAGAGGAGAUUCAAUUGCAAUUAGAUUUUAGCUUCUGCAAUACUUUGCAUCAAUUGGAGAUUUUAUAUAAAGCUGCCGAUACUAGCAAUAAAAAUUAUCGUUUGCAACCAUUGUAUAUUACAUGUUCUAAACAAAGUGUGCCCGUGGAGCUUGUUCAUGAAAAUUGUGAGAAAAUAAAUUUGAAUUUACGUUUGGUUCAAUGUAUCUAUGCCGAACAGCUAAGAACAGCGGGUUUUGGCAGGCGUACCUUUACGAUAAACGGCGAUUGCCAAGUAUUUGAGUCGAAUUUAACGUGCGAAGAAGUUUGGCAGCAGAACGAGAAAGACUUGUGGCAAAAUUUCGCACAAGAGCUACUUAACUCCAGCAAUUGGGGUGAAGAUUCCAAACUGAAAUUUGUGGCAUUCAUUAGUUGUACUAGAUAUGACGGUGCGGCAGUAGCUGCCUCAGGCGACUUUUCAUAUGCAAAUAUACGCCUUCAUUUAAGGGGACACGCAGCCCUGGGAGGUGGGGGCCUGGCACUUUUUGGCGCAGCCUAUUUAUUUGCAUGGCCGCAGACUUGUAAUGCAAUACAAACUUGCUUUGGAAGUACCAAAGAAGUAGAUCUAACGGAAUUGCCCGAUGACAGCAACUAUCGACGUACAUACGGCGGAGUUUAUGCCACUACUUUAGGCGCUGUAGUGCAUGAAAUCGGACACACCUUUGAUCUGGGGCACACCAAAGAUGGUGUGAUGGGCAAUGGCUUUGAUUAUGUAAAUCGAGUUUUUACCUUAGAUAAUCUGACGGAACAUCUGCCAGAUAGAAUCAUACAGCACGUGGCGCCAAAAGUGAUCGCUCAAGUAGCAACUCGUCCCCGUUUUACACAACUCAAGCGCACGACAAAUUCUUUUCUCGACAAAUACCACGAACAAAAAACAAGCGAUUCUUUUUAUUUUACCCGCAAUUGUGCAGUAAUUUUAGCGCACCAUAAAUGGUUCAGAAUUCACAAUGGAAGCGCUGAUGAAGAGAGAGCGUGCGAUGCGGAGAUAACGUAUGAUGCGGUUAAUAAUUGUGUCAUAUCCGCAGGAGACAAUCAUCCGUUGUGCUUGAUUGAGGUGCGUUGCAUGGACAAUAGUUUAGUUAAAUACUGGUACGAGUUGCAAUCGGGCAAAGACAUCGAUGAGAUUUAUACAUUUCAUUUGCCAAAAGAGGCACACGAGGAAAAUCACUAUUUAUUCGUGCUGACGAAGACGGGGUUGACGAAGCGUUUUAAUGAAUACUAAAAUUCAAAUAUUUGCAUGGUCGUAUUUUGCACGUUUCUAGGUAAUGGUAACAACACUAUUUCCUGCGUCGCUGAUGCUCUAAUAGCAACUUAUUUAAAAACUCAUUUGAGAGCCUUUGCAUUUGCAAGAAAGUAUUUCAUUACACUUGCAAAAGUGCAUAUGCCUUCAUAUAGUAUGGUAUGUAUGUGCAUAACUGUGUCGCCGUCUCUUGGAAGCAGUACAAUGAAC